RNAcentral lists this ribosomal RNA (468 nucleotides) under uncultured bacterium. Its description in RNAcentral is "partial 16S ribosomal RNA". It matches the Rfam family "Bacterial small subunit ribosomal RNA", at positions 28 to 507 of the family's 1533-position model. The record is from RNAcentral.
GACGAACGCUGGCGGCGUGCUUAACACAUGCAAGUCGAACGGAAAGGCCCUGCUUUUGUGGGGUGCUCGAGUGGCGAACGGGUGAGUAACACGUGAGUAACCUGCCCUUGACUUUGGGAUAACUUCAGGAAACUGGGGCUAAUACCGGAUAGGAGCUCCUGCUGCAUGGUGGGGGUUGGAAAGUUUCGGCGGUUGGGGAUGGACUCGCGGCUUAUCAGCUUGUUGGUGGGGUAGUGGCUUACCAAGGCUUUGACGGGUAGCCGGCCUGAGAGGGUGACCGGCCAAAUUGGGACUGAGAUACGGCCCAGACUCCUAAGGGAGGCAGCAGUGGGGAAUAUUGCAAAAUGGGCGGAAGCCUGAUGCAGCAACGCCGCGGGCGGGAUGACGGCCUUCGGGUUGUAAACCGCUUUCGCCUGUGACGAAGCGUGAGUGACGGUAAUGGGUAAAGAAGCACCGGCUAACUACGUG